AUGAGAGGGAAGAGCAGCAGCGUGGUAAGGAGCAGCGAGGUGAAGGAGAAGAAAGAAGAGGAGGUAGCAGCAGCAGGUUCAGGAAAGAAGAAGGGCAGCGGGGAUGCGGGAAGAAGGUUAGGAGAAGAAGAAAGGUUGAGCAGCAGCAGGGAUAUGGAUGGGCGGCGGCGCGAGGUGAUGAGGCGGCGCUGUGGAUGGUGGUGGAUGGAGGCGCAGGGUGAUGGUGGAGGUGUUGGUGGCGCGCUGGGGUGCGGUGGUGCUGGUGAUGGAUGGCGCGGAGGCGCACCACCACGUCGGCCUGGCCAUGGCGGCGGCCGGAGGUGA
Molecule: ribosomal RNA, 324 nt
Filed under: Triticum aestivum (bread wheat)
Lineage: Eukaryota; Viridiplantae; Streptophyta; Magnoliopsida; Poales; Poaceae
Description: partial small subunit ribosomal RNA
Source: RNAcentral